Molecule: RNA transcript, 3330 nt
Organism: Lycium ferocissimum
Lineage: Eukaryota; Viridiplantae; Streptophyta; Magnoliopsida; Solanales; Solanaceae
Exons: 5
Source: RefSeq, a predicted model, not a curated record
AAGCUCACCGGAGCUCCAGUGUCACGAGCUUACCGGCAAUGAUGGCUAUGGAACAAGCAACAGUGAGGGAGAAGAGAUGAGCUCGCGGAUCAGGUUAUAAGAGACCGGUCGGAUCAUUUUAAUUGAAAUUGGGUAAUUUUGGAUGAUUUGGGGUUUUUCAUCUAAUAAAGGGGUAUAUGUGUAUACUUUGGCUAACAGAGGGGUAUAUUUGACUACUUUGACUAACAGAGGGGUAUAUUUGACUACUUUGACUAACAGAGGGUAAAUUUAACCAAUAAACUAAAGUAGAGGGGUAUAUUUGACCCUUUUCUCUUUUUUUUUUUAUUCUCUAGCUUACCGAAAAAGUUACGGUACUCAACAAUUACGUAGUUCUUCCUUUGAAAAACUCUUCAAAUUGUUUGAUUCCAAGGCAACAAAGGAAAAGGAGGAUGGCAUUCCAGUUUCUGAGUGUUGAUAAUGAUGAUACAUAUGACCACGACGGGAAUCGGCAUUUUGAUGAUCAUGACUUUGCCGCGGUUGUUCCUGAAGGAAAUAUGCCUGCUGAGCAAACUAAGUCAAAUGUCAAGGUAAAUGAGGGAGUUACUGCUGGUUUGGCAAAUGAGGAAGUUAGUGGUGGUGAGGCAAAUGAGGGAGUUAUUGGUGGUGUUUUUGGGGCAGCGGAAACACCUGUUGUGAAUGAUUCAAACACGUGGUAUGACAAUGAACUCACUAAUGAAGUUUUGGUGAAGUUAAACAUGUCUCAAAUUGUGCUUCAUAGGCAACAUGUCAAAAAAGAAGACAUGACACUCGAAGAAUUGGCUCGGAAAAAGUUUCCAACAAAAUGUGUUUCAUCUCCAUUUGUGGUAGAUUUUGGUUAUGAUAUAAGUGGCACAUCAAACUCAGCGCCCAAGUGCAUUUCUGAGGAGACGUAUUCUUUUGUGAAAAACAUUGAUGAGUUUGAUCCCUAUUCACCUGAGGGUAGAGCAUUUGCUGAGUUUGUUGAUGAUGGGAUGAAUUCAACACAAAUAGCCAAAGAAGUUUAUCCAGUGGAAAAAAUAAUCUGCCCGUGCCUUUUAUUUUUGGAUCAAUUUAUGUGACGAGAAGGGAUUAGUUCCACACGAUUUCAUACAGCGGUCAACUUUUAUCUGACGAGGUAUGUGAUUUUCUUAUAAUUUUCAAUGUUUCUAUUCUAGAUGAAUCGUGAAUUGGAGGGUUAUGAAGCAGUGUAUAAACCUUUAUAUGAACUAUGGCAAUUAGCGUUGCUUUUGUAUUAUGAUGCCAAUGUAAAACAUUGUUUGCAGGAUAUGAUAUUUCUUCAUUCUUGCUAUGAACUUUUCUUCUUCUUUGUUGUGAAAGUCUAUUAUUCUUGCAUACCACCCCUUGACAUAUGGAAUGAGUUCUCAUGUGAAUAAUUUUGAAUGUUGCAGUUCGUCUUAAAUACGUAUUUGGGACUGUCUUGAAUUCGUUUUUAUUUUUUGGGGGUUUUCGCAUCCUGUGAAUUCCUAGGUUAUCGCGAAAUUGGUCUAGUGAACUUUAGUAAUAUGGACUUUAUAUUAUAUAAGUGAUAUGCCAUAUUUUGUACUUCUUUUAAAAAUUUUGUGGAUUCACCAGUUGAUCAAUGUGAGUCUGAUUUGAGUGGUGUGUUGAUAAUUCCACAUCUUCCAGUAAAAUAAUUCCAGACCUCCUUUGCUAUAUCUCCUUUCCAAGAUGACAUGUUCAAUUCUUUCCAAUUUAUGCUCUCUGCAAUAAUGGCAUCUGGAUAGGCGAACCUGCAAAGUCUUAUCAUCAGUAGGUAAACUAUUUGUUAGCAUUCUUAAAAUAAAAAAGAAAACUUUAAGAGGGAGUUUAGGAUGCCAACUUUUCCUAGAAGUUAAGAAAAUUGUAUUAAAUUUUCUCAAACUUCUCCAAGCUGAUUUACACUAAAAAAAACUUCCUGUAGUUUCAGGGAUCUAGAUUGGGAAUCCUUUUCUGCAUCAAGAAUUAUGAGUCCCUGAAUAGGCUCAGAAUGUGAGGUGGUGUUGUGUCCAUCAGCUUUGGCAUGUUCCAUGUUCUAUUCUGCAUGUAUUUAUAAAUUUUGAUACACUUUGAACUUUCCUGAUAAUUAAGGAGGUUUGAGGCCUUUUUCAGUCCAUAUUUGUGAUCUCAACUUUAUGUAAGCUGUAUUUGUUUUUUUGAAUUCAACUGAAUAUUUUAAAUUAGAGGUGAUAGGGAAGUUGGAAAGUGUUGAUGAAUGUUUCUCUUGCUGCGGGUAGUUCAGGGUGUAGUUUAGUUGCUGUUUAGCAAGUUCUAAAGUUUUUUGGAUUGAUUCACUAAUAAUUGUUACUUUACUUCUAUUUUCCUAUCUCAGCACAUUGAUGUCAUAUUUUACUAUUUGAGGAAACAGGGUAAAUAUGAUCCUACUGUUGCUGUAUGGUUCACGACAACUGACUGAUUUUUUGGUGGCAAGAUUACUGAAUUCUAUUAAAAGUAUGUAAAGGCUAACCAUGAUAUUGCUAUUAUUCCUGAAGUUAAUGAGAUAUCUCAGUAUAUUCAAGGCUUUUACUGUGAUGUAAAUGUACCGUGGGACACAGUUGACCACGUGUUAAUUCCGAUUCAUGUCAAGUGUGCAAAAAAAAAGAUACAGGUCACCGGGUCUUGGGUGUGCUUACGUUCAAGGAUAGGUGCAUCCACGUAUAUGACUCUAACCGUGGUGCUUUGAAUGAUUCUUUUGUUACAAAAGCACUAUUGCCUUUUGCAUUCAUGAUACCUCAAUUCUUGACAAGUACCGGAUUCUAUGACAAGAUGAGCGACAUUGAUUUGAAAAAUGAUGCAUAUGCUGAUAGAGAACUAUCUAACCAUUGUUGGUCAAUUUGUUCAUUGAUCUGCCACAUCAGUUCAAUGCGGAUUGUGGUGCUUUUAUUGCUGCCUCUGCUGAGUAUUUCAUCAUGGGAAAAAAAAUAGACAAGAAGAAUUUCGACAUCGACACAUAUCGUGCAAGAAUUGGAUCCCAGUUGUGGCAAUAUGGAUUGAAGAAACAAAGAUCUUGGUGUCGUGAGAGAUGAUGAGGUCAAGGGCAGGAUCGACACGAAGAAGAAGAAGAAGAAGAGGGGGCGGCCAAAAAAUCCGAGAAACGUAGUUCAUUUGUAGUUUCACUGUACUUAUUAGGAGUAAUUGAUGUUCGGUUUUGUUAAAGUACCGCUUUUGAUGAAUCACAAUACCUUUUUCCUAUUCGCGAAAGCAAAAAACUACUGUGACUAAUUAGUUUGUUAUGCAUAUUUUGUGUAAUUGACUCUUGUAAAAAUCUUAAGGCAUGGACCAAUUAUGGAAUUAUAGUUUUGCAUCUGAUUUCUCUUACCGAAUGAUUGUUAGUCA